Molecule: ribosomal RNA, 253 nt
Filed under: uncultured bacterium
Lineage: Bacteria
Description: partial 16S ribosomal RNA
Rfam family: Bacterial small subunit ribosomal RNA
Source: RNAcentral
UACGUAGGGUGCGAGCGUUAAUCGGAAUUACUGGGCGUAAAGCGCACGUAGGUGGCGACGUAAGUCGGGUGUGAAAGCCCCGGGCUCAACCUGGGAAUUGCAUUCGAGACUGCAUUGCUGGAGUACGGAAGAGGAGGGCGGAAUUCCCGGUGUAGCGGUGAAAUGCGUAGAGAUCGGAAAGAACACCCGUGGCGAAGGCGGCUUUCUGGACCAAAACUGACGCUGAGGCGCGAAAGCGUGGGGAGCAAACAGG